This 459-nucleotide ribosomal RNA is filed under the name uncultured bacterium. RNAcentral describes it as "partial 16S ribosomal RNA". It matches the Rfam family "Bacterial small subunit ribosomal RNA", at positions 339 to 795 of the family's 1533-position model. The record is from RNAcentral.
CUACGGGUUGCUGCAGUGAGGAAUAUUGGUCAAUGGGCGCGAGCCUGAACCAGCCAUCCCGCGUGCAGGAUGACGGCCCUAUGGGUUGUAAACUGCUUUUCUAUGCCAAGAAACCUGAUUACGUGUAAUCAGUUGCCGGUAGCAUAGGAAUAAGCAUCGGCUAACUCCGUGCCAGCAGCCGCGGUAAUACGGAGGAUGCAGGCGUUAUCCGGAUUCAUUGGGUUUAAAGGGUGCGCAGGUGGGCUGGUAAGUCAGUGGUGAAAUGCUGCCGCUUAACGGUAGAACUGCCAUUGAUACUGCGAGUCUUGAGUAUGGUUGAGGUAGGCGGAAUGUGUUGUGUAGCGGUGAAAUGCAUAGAUAUGACACAGAACGCCAAUUGCGAAGGCAGCUUACUAAGCCAUUACUGACGCUGAGGCACGAAAGCGUGGGGAGCGAAUAGGAUUAGAUACCCGGGUAGUC